Molecule: ribosomal RNA, 202 nt
Filed under: uncultured Actinomycetales bacterium
Lineage: Bacteria; Bacillati; Actinomycetota; Actinomycetes; Actinomycetales
Description: partial 16S ribosomal RNA
Rfam family: Bacterial small subunit ribosomal RNA
Source: RNAcentral
CUUGACUUUGGGAUAACUUCAGGAAACUGGGGCUAAUACCGGAUAGGAGCUCCUGCUGCAUGGUGGGGGUUGGAAAGUUUCGGCGGUUGGGGAUGGACUCGCGGCUUAUCAGCUUGUUGGUGGGGUAGUGGCUUACCAAGGCUUUGACGGGUAGCCGGCCUGAGAGGGUGACCGGCCACAUUGGGACUGAGAUACGGCCCAG